AAUAUAUAGGUCUACCACAUCCAUCCUGUUAAAAAGUUACGUUGCUACAAAGAUGGCGCCUGUUACUAAGGAACCAUCAUUAUGGGAACUAAAGAGUAAGUUAAAAAAAGUUUAUUUUGCAGAAGGAGUGGCCUAGUAUUUGCUAACAUGCCGGCAGUAACCUUUAAUUCACUGGUCACAUGUAACUGAAGGACAUUGGGAAUGCAUGAUUUUUUCUCUUCUUUGAAUUUUUCACAAUUACUUAAAAAAAAACGGGUUUUGUGUUAUGCUUGUUGCAAACAACCUGAUGAAGGCAUUGUAAGUAAAGGAGCUGGUAACUGCCAUCAAACUACGUGGGGAGGGAAUGAAGAAAAGGCAGCAAUUGGGUGGACCUGCACUUAUGUUUUGUGAAUUCUCACUAAAAAAGAAAAGAUCAUAACCAGGAAAAGACAAAGCGACUUACAGAGAAUUUUGAGGGAAUCUCCAGGAAACUUUAAUGAAGCAGAUAAGUAGACACCUGACUAAAAAUUGGAUAUGCAGCUCUUUUCUGGUGCACCAUUUUGUGCGGUAUGUUGAUGGGUUCUUGAAUGUUACUGAAAAUUCCCUAGCCUCUGAGCAAUUGGAAAACACCUACUUUACUUUUGUCACUUCACCUGACAGUAACAUUUUGGAAGUAAGGAACUCCAGUGCUAUGGAUACUGGGAAUGACAUAGCUCAAAGCUGCUGGUCAGUGACACCUCUGCAUAUCCAAUUACAAUGUAUCAUCACAUUAGCGGUACUGUCUGCUGUCAUCAUAUCUUUCAUGACAUCAACAUUAAUCCUCUACAUCCGAUUAGCCAAACGUCAGAAGAGGCGACCAAUAAGAAAUAUACCAACCCUUAGAUAUCCCAAGAUUCUGACUCGUCACAAGACUGCUGCCAACCUCUGGAUGCAGCCAACAGUGACACAAGAACAAAUAUCAGACUUUUGGUACAAUAACAGGGCAAAUGCAAAGGACACAUUGCUAGAAAAUGAUCGGUCUAAAGCAUGUGCAAAUGGCAGUUGUGUAUGAUAUGUAUCAGUCAAAUUUUUGUCUAGAAGUCUAUUUUGUUAUGAUCAUUUCUUGUCUCACUGAUACUUGUAGUACUUGCAACUGGGGUUUUAAAUGGAUUGUUGUUCAUUUGAACUUUCUGAUGUGGGAGAUAAGCUGGUGUUUUCAGGAAACACUACCUUCCUUAAAGUGGGGAAGUCAAAACAGUAGCUGGGUAAGUCAAGACAAUUACUGCUUGAGAAAACAGGUACUAGGCAGGAUGGGGUUUUAAUAAAUGAAAAAAAUAAAUGCAGACUAGCCAGCUUUAGCUGUUGAUAUUAUUAGAAAAAGGACACUGGAUCAUGGGAGAUUUAUUUUUCAUACACUAUCCACUGUUGAAAGAAAAUGUGCUAAGUUUAACUUAUGCAGGGAAAAAGAGGGUAUCAAAAACAGGAGCACAACUUUACUGUCCCAGAAUGCAACAGAAGGAGGGGAUCAGUGGAGAGAACAAAGUUCCUUUUGUGUUUGAACAAGUGGUAAAAUCAUUUAACACACAGUAUUUGGAGCCACCUUAUUAUACUGGCAGGAGACUGUUACUUUGUCCAUAACAACAUCUCUAAUUUAAACUCUCACAGUCAUAUUCAUUCAGGAUAAAUCACAUCAAAAUGGAUCAGUAAAAAGACCCUUCUACCAGGGAUGCUGCCAUAUAAAGGCAAUCAUUGCUGGUGGCCAAAGUCAUACAUCUCAUUAAUUAAACAUUAACAGUGAUAUUUUGUAACUGGAGAUUAUAUAUAAAUAGUUAUUUGUACUGUCUGUAUUUAGUCCUCGGUUGUUCUCCAGUGAGGGAGGAGUCUAAGUGUAUGAAGGUCAGUCAGUUCCAGACCACAAGGCCACACUUGCCUGUGGGUUUUCCAAAACUGGAUUUCUUUUCCCUGUCAGUGUUAAGGUACAGAGUUAUAAAAAGAAGAUGAUGGAAGAAGCGAAGUCUGCUGUACAGAGUGGGUGUAUGCAGGAUCUGCCACUCAAACUUAGUGUUUUGGGUGAACUUUUGAUAUGUACAGUGGACCACGACAUGCUGGUCUUUGUCUUAGUAUUUAUAGCAAAACCAGGCUAUAUCCCCGUGAGGGGAAUAAUAUGCGUUAAUAUAGACUGCUUGGAUGGUGACUGAACUGUCACAAUGUCCAUUUCUCUGCUGGUGACGUAAAAAAAAUUACAAUAUAAAUAGGAUGGUGUACACAGGACUUUAGAACACCCUUAGUGAAAAUGUUUAUCUUUUCAUAGAAACUGUCAUUUUGCUCAGCCAGAGGUAGCAAAAAUCAGUCUUUGUCUAACUGGUCUCAGCUAAAUUGAAUAACCUCUUUGCUACAGUUUGCAUACGUUUGCCUAUAUUUAUGGUUGUAUCCAGAAAAAAGUACUUGUAAAUCAGGACAUCCGUCUUUUUAUCAAACACAUGAAUGAAUAAAAUAAAGGCCUGAACUCUUGAUGAAGCACUUCUUUGGAGUUUUCCUUAAGGUUUUAUGCUAAUCAUGACGUUGUUUGUUUAUUGCAAAAUGGUCCUUUUUGAAACUGUGCCAUGUUUCUACAGAAACAGAAUCGGCAAAUAUGAUGAGUAAUACUGCAUGAAGGGUAUUUCUUUCAGCUGCCCCCCCCCC
Protopterus annectens (West African lungfish) is the source of this 2640-nucleotide long non-coding RNA. RefSeq lists it as uncharacterized. The record is from RefSeq and is a predicted model, not a curated record. Lineage: Eukaryota; Metazoa; Chordata; Ceratodontiformes; Protopteridae. The transcript has 2 exons.